UGGGGAAUUUUGGACAAUGGGCGCAAGCCUGAUCCAGCCAUGCCGCGUGAGUGAAGAAGGCCUUCGGGUUGUAAAGCUCUUUCGGCGGGGACGAAACGGUUCGUGACAACACCACGGACUAAUGACGGUACCCGCAUAAGAAGCACCGGCUAACUACGUGCCAGCAGCCGCGGUAAUACGUAGGGUGCAGGCGUUAAUCGGAAUUACUGGGCGUAAAGCGUGCGCAGGCGGUUUGUUAAGACAGGUGUGAAAUCCCCGGGCUUAACCUGGGAACUGCGUUUGAAACUGAGGGGCUAGAGUGUGGAAGAGGGGGGUGGAAUUCCAGGUGUAGCAGUGAAAUGCGUAGAGAUCUGGAGGAACACCGAUGGCGAAGGCAGCCCCCUGGGCUAACACUGACGCUCAUGCACGAAAGCGUGGGGAGCAAACGGGAUUAGAUACCCCUGUAGUCCCUGAGCGGGCUGGCAAGGCGCAU
RNAcentral lists this ribosomal RNA (472 nucleotides) under uncultured bacterium. Its description in RNAcentral is "bacterial SSU rRNA". It matches the Rfam family "Bacterial small subunit ribosomal RNA", at positions 355 to 825 of the family's 1533-position model. The record is from RNAcentral.